AUGAACGCUGGCGGCGUGCCUAAUACAUGCACGUCGCGCGCACAGACGAGGAGCUUGCUCCUCUGACGUUAGCGGCGGACGGGUGAGUAACACGUGGAUAACCUACCUAUAAGACUGGGAUAACUUCGGGAAACCGGAGCUAAUACCGGAUAAUAUAUUGAACCGCAUGGUUCAAUAGUGAAAGACGGUUUUGCUGUCACUUAUAGAUGGAUCCGCGCCGCAUUAGCUAGUUGGUAAGGUAACGGCUUACCAAGGCAACGAUGCGUAGCCGACCUGAGAGGGUGAUCGGCCACACUGGAACUGAGACACGGUCCAGACUCCUACGGGAGGCAGCAGUAGGGAAUCUUCCGCAAUGGGCGAAAGCUUGACGGAGCAACGCCGCGUGAGUGAUGAAGGUCUUCGGAUCGUAAAACUCUGUUAUUAGGGAAGAACAAAUGUGUAAGUAACUAUGCACGUCUUGACGGUACCUAAUCAGAAAGCCACGGCUAACUACGUG
This 496-nucleotide ribosomal RNA is filed under the name uncultured bacterium. Its description in RNAcentral is "partial 16S ribosomal RNA". It matches the Rfam family "Bacterial small subunit ribosomal RNA", at positions 29 to 507 of the family's 1533-position model. The record is from RNAcentral.